This 467-nucleotide ribosomal RNA is filed under the name uncultured bacterium. RNAcentral describes it as "partial 16S ribosomal RNA". It matches the Rfam family "Bacterial small subunit ribosomal RNA", at positions 28 to 507 of the family's 1533-position model. The record is from RNAcentral.
GAUGAACGCUGGCGGCGCGCCUAACACAUGCAAGUCGAACGAUUAAAGCACCUUCGGGUGUGUAUAAAGUGGCGAACGGCUGAGUAACACGUGGGCAACCUGCCCCUCUCAUUGGGAUAGCCACGGGAAACCGUGGAUAAUACCGAAUACUUCGGGACUUCCGCAUGGAAGACUCGAGAAAGCUCCGGCGGAGAGGGAUGGGCCCGCGGCCUGUUAGCUUGUUGGUGGGGUAAUGGCCUACCAAGGCAAUGAUGGGUAGCUGGGUUGGGAGACCGACCAGCCAGAUUGGGACUGAGACACGGCCCAGACUCCUACGGGAGGCAGCAGUGGGGAAUCUUGCACAAUGGGCGAAAGCCUGAUGCAGCGACGCCGCGUGCGGGAUGAAGGCCUUCGGGUUGUAAACCGCUUUCAGCAGGGACGAGGCGAAAGUGACGGUACCUGCAGAAGAAGCCCCGGCUAACUACGUG